GCUCCAACCAGUGUGGAGUCAGAAGGAGGGAGGGAGCAGUGACAGCAGAGCAGGUUUACCCAGGGCCGUAAACACGUUUAAGGAGGCCCGAGUCUCAGCAUCCAAACACCAGGACCAGAUCCUGAACGAAUUACUUCGUGCACUGAGGCAGCUUUGGUGUUUUCCUCAUGCUUUGCACUGAUGGUGGAGUCAGGAGCAUCUCCGAGCUCUGCAGUCUGUGAGUGCUCCCACUGAGAGCUGCAGAUUAAUGAAAGAGAAGAAGAAUGGGACCUCCCACUGACGAUCAGGAGGAAUUUCUCUGUGAAAAUAUAAAGGAUGUUUUUCUGCAGAGAGCACAGAGAGAAAACCAGGCUCCACCUCCCCCUCCACGAGGAGAAAGACUCUAAAGUGAUGGAGAAUUGCACAGAGAGCGUCAGAGAGCAGGAGAAAUGCAGGACAGGCUCGCUGUUUCCUGUCUUCGUUUCCCUCUCCUGCCCUCAAUGGAUUGCAGGUGUUAAACGAAGUGGCGGUGGAUUUCCCACCUGAGUCCCGGCCUAGAGGCAACAGCUGUCCAGUACAUUCAUUAAAUACAAAGAAUAAGAAGCACAGUGGCUAAUGCAUGUGGGGAUUUCCGGCGUCUGCAGGUACACCAUCAGUGUUUUCAUAAAAAGCCUGUUAUGCUCGGCUCAUGUAAACCCAAAUCAGGUACCAGGGUGAGAAACUCAACUCACAGCGACAGGAGACAGGACUGCUGCCCGGCUUCGCUCUGACUGGCUCAGAGACCUUUACUGUCAUAUUGAGUUUGAAAGUCUCUGAAAAAAAACAAGCAGGGGUCAGAGUGUUCCUCCACUUCUCCAGGGCACUAAUGAGUUGUUGUUUGAUUUCUGACCUUCAGCAUCAAUCAGCAUCCAAACCUUGAGCCAAAAACAAGGACACAGUCCAAACUGUGCACCAUAAUUACUUUCACACCGCUCAGCCUGCCCUUCUUCUUGUUCCUCCACCCUGAAUCCUUCCUCUGCUGGGAGGAACGAUUCAUUUUUCUUCUGUCCACAGCAUUUUGACUGGAUAUCAUCCAUCAGCUCCAUCAAAGCUGCCCUUUUUUCUGUGGUGUUGCUCAGUAACCCAAACUGAAGUUCAAUCAAACUCAGACUUCUGUGCUUGAGGUUCCUUAAACUUCUCUGUGGUCACAUCCAUCCUACUUCUCCUCCUCCUCCUCUGUUUUCCACCUGAAAGCUCUUCAGAGAUGUGAUUGGGGCCUGGAGCAGUGUUUCUGUGGUCCAUUCUGUGAUAUUCUUCAUGCCAGAACACACACGUUCUGGUGAAUUUUUUAAAAGGACACCACUUCAUUUUAAACGAGUGGUAGGAAAAUCAAAAUGAGUCAUCAAAGACUCAUCACAGCUAUGACAAA
Oreochromis niloticus (Nile tilapia) is the source of this 1387-nucleotide long non-coding RNA. RefSeq lists it as uncharacterized. The record is from RefSeq and is a predicted model, not a curated record. The transcript is spliced from 3 exons. Lineage: Eukaryota; Metazoa; Chordata; Actinopteri; Cichliformes; Cichlidae.